GAUGAAGAACGCAGCGAAAUGCGAUAAGUAGUGUGAAUUGCAGAAUUCAGUGAAUCAUCGAAUCUUUGAACGCACAUUGCGGCCAUAGGUAUUCCUUUGGCCAUGCCUGUUCGAGCGUCAUUUACACCCUCAAGCCUAGCUUGGUGUUGGGCGUCUGUCCCGCCGUUUUCGCGCGCGGACUCGCCUCAAAGUCAUUGGCGGCGGUCGUGCCGGCCCCCUCGCGCAGCACAUUUGCGCUUCUCGGAGGCCCGGCGGAUCCGCGCUCCAGCAAGACCUUUCACGACUUGACCUCGGAUCAGGUAGGGAUACCCGCUGAACUUAAGCAUACAAUAAGCGGAGGA
RNAcentral lists this unclassified non-coding RNA (341 nucleotides) under soil metagenome. Its description in RNAcentral is "partial contains 5.8S ribosomal RNA, internal transcribed spacer 2, and large subunit ribosomal RNA". The stretch from base 1 to 120 matches the Rfam family "5.8S ribosomal RNA", at positions 35 to 154 of the family's 154-position model. The record is from RNAcentral.